Molecule: ribosomal RNA, 589 nt
Filed under: uncultured bacterium
Lineage: Bacteria
Description: bacterial SSU rRNA
Rfam family: Bacterial small subunit ribosomal RNA
Source: RNAcentral
CCUACGGGAGGCAGCAGUGGGGAAUUGUUCGCAAUGGGCGCAAGCCUGACGACGCAACGCCGCGUGGAGGAUGAAGACCUUCGGGUCGUAAACUCCUUUCGAUCGAGACGAAUGUUUUCCGGGUGAACAAUCCGGAAAAGUGACGGUACCGAGAGAAGAAGCCCCGGCUAACUCUGUGCCAGCAGCCGCGGUAAUACAGGGGGGGUCAAGCGUUGUUCGGAAUUACUGGGCGUAAAGGGCUUGUAGGUGGCCAACUAAGUCAGACGUGAAAUCCCUCAGCUUAACUGGGGAACUGCGUCUGAUACUGGAUGGCUUGAGUUUGGGAGAGGGAUGCGGAAUUCCAGGUGUAGCGGUGAAAUGCGUAGAUAUCUGGAGGAACACCGGUGGCGAAGGCGGCAUCCUGGACCAACACUGACACUGAGGAGCGAAAGCCAGGGGAGCAAACGGGAUUAGAUACCCCGGGUAGUCCUGGCCCUAAACGAUGAAUGCUUGGUGUGGCGGGUAUCGAUCCCUGCCGUGCCGAAGCUAACGCAUUAAGCAUUCCGCCUGGGGAGUACGGUCGCAAGGCUGAAACUCAAAGGAUUGACGG